GCCGCAUUAGCUCAGUCGGUAGAGCAUCUCAUUCGUAAUGAGGGGGUCGGCGGUUCGAAUCCGUCAUGCGGCACCA
Molecule: transfer RNA, 76 nt
Filed under: Devosia insulae DS-56
Lineage: Bacteria; Pseudomonadati; Pseudomonadota; Alphaproteobacteria; Hyphomicrobiales; Devosiaceae
Description: tRNA-Thr
Rfam family: tRNA
About the family: Transfer RNA (tRNA) molecules are approximately 80 nucleotides in length.
Source: RNAcentral